Molecule: ribosomal RNA, 253 nt
Filed under: uncultured bacterium
Lineage: Bacteria
Description: partial 16S ribosomal RNA
Rfam family: Bacterial small subunit ribosomal RNA
Source: RNAcentral
UACGUAGGGCGCAAGCGUUAUCCGGAAUUAUUGGGCGUAAAGAGCUCGUAGGCGGUUUGUCGCGUCUGCCGUGAAAGUCCGGGGCUCAACUCCGGAUCUGCGGUGGGUACGGGCAGACUAGAGUGAUGUAGGGGAGACUGGAAUUCCUGGUGUAGCGGUGAAAUGCGCAGAUAUCAGGAGGAACACCGAUGGCGAAGGCAGGUCUCUGGGCAUUAACUGACGCUGAGGCGCGAAAGCGUGGGGAGCAAACAGG